UGCCCCCUCCAUCUGAUCUGCAACGACUUCAUUGCUCAUCAGCAAAGCAGCGCAGGAUAGUGCUUGACAUAUACAGCAAGAUUUAUAGACGAAGUUAUACCUGGAGGUUGCUAUUCAUCAGAUCGUGCCAAAGUACUUCAAGAUGGCUACUGGUUUGUGAUCUGAUUUUUUGAAUGGACUUUCCUAUAUAUGAUAUUGCAAAUAGCACAAGAGAUCUACCCCAGCACCGCUUCCCCAUCUCUGGUGGUUCCUUUGGCUUCCUCCAUGGCUGCUGAGAAGAUGGGUCACCAAUUUGCACCACUGUACCUCAUGGCCAAUUUGCACCAGCAUUAACGAGGUCGCAGCCGAGGCCGUCCGUCGUCGUGCCAGGCUCAAUUUGGAGGACACCAAGGGUCGUAUACCUAUUGAUCUUCUCUCUUGCCCUGUAUCACAGGCUAAUGGGGAUUCUCCCAAUUCAGUUGCAACGGAAGUCUUCAGUUGGGGAAGUGGAUCAAACUAUCAACUGGGAACUGGCAAUGCCCACAUAUUAGAUUCUGCAUGACUGCUUAUCUCUGAAUAUCCGGAUGUCCAAGACGACCAACAUUGUGCCAGGCUAAAGUUUAUGGCGUCCUGAGAUGUAAUCCAUCAGGAGCCGUUUUGAUCGACUAAAGUUUAUUACGUCCAGGUCAUGACACAAACACAUGUGUAGACCCGCCUUGU
Long non-coding RNA from Triticum dicoccoides, 699 nucleotides. RefSeq lists it as uncharacterized. The transcript is spliced from 4 exons. The record is from RefSeq and is a predicted model, not a curated record. Lineage: Eukaryota; Viridiplantae; Streptophyta; Magnoliopsida; Poales; Poaceae.